GACGAACCGUGCGAACGUUAUUCGGAAUCACUGGGCUUAAAGCGCGUGUAGGCGGGCGGGCACGUCGGACGCUGAAAGCCCCCGGCUCAACCGGGGAACGGGCGCCGAAACGACUCGCCUGGAGGGACGUAGGGGGACCGGGAACUUCCGGUGGAGCGGUGAAAUGCGUUGAGAUCGGAAGGAACGCCCGUGGCGAAAGCGCGGUCCUGGACGUCUGCUGACGCUGAGACGCGAAAGCCAGGGGAGCGAACGGG
RNAcentral lists this ribosomal RNA (254 nucleotides) under uncultured bacterium. RNAcentral describes it as "partial 16S ribosomal RNA". It matches the Rfam family "Bacterial small subunit ribosomal RNA", at positions 524 to 776 of the family's 1533-position model. The record is from RNAcentral.